ACAGGGCUGCACCGAUUUCACCAAAGACUUGGAAGUGAUUUUUGAUGCAGCCCCAGCC
This 58-nucleotide microRNA precursor is filed under the name Monodelphis domestica (gray short-tailed opossum). RNAcentral describes it as "microRNA mdo-mir-12343 precursor". Lineage: Eukaryota; Metazoa; Chordata; Mammalia; Didelphimorphia; Didelphidae. The record is from miRBase by way of RNAcentral.